ACGGUGAUAAUUUGCGAUUAACGG
This 24-nucleotide non-coding RNA is filed under the name Arabidopsis thaliana (thale cress). The record is from RNAcentral. Lineage: Eukaryota; Viridiplantae; Streptophyta; Magnoliopsida; Brassicales; Brassicaceae.